Molecule: ribosomal RNA, 497 nt
Filed under: uncultured bacterium
Lineage: Bacteria
Description: partial 16S ribosomal RNA
Rfam family: Bacterial small subunit ribosomal RNA
Source: RNAcentral
GACGAACGCUGGCGGCGUGCCUAAUACAUGCAAGUUGAGCGAUGAAGAUUGGUGCUUGCACCAAUUUGCAGAGCAGCGAACGGGUGAGUAACGCGUGGGGAAUCUGCCUUUGAGCGGGGGACAACAUUUGGAAACGAAUGCUAAUACCGCAUAACAACUUUAAACAUAAGUUUUAAGUUUGAAAGAUGCAAUUGCAUCACUCAAAGAUGAUCCCGCGUUGUAUUAGCUAGUUGGUGAGGUAAAGGCUCACCAAGGCGAUGAUACAUAGCCGACCUGAGAGGGUGAUCGGCCACAUUGGGACUGAGACACGGCCCAAACUCCUACGGGAGGCAGCAGUAGGGAAUCUUCGGCAAGAGACGAAAGUCUGACCGAGCAACGCCGCGUGAGUGAAGAAGGUUUUCGGAUCGUAAAAAUCUGUUGGUAGAGAAGAACGUUGGUGAGAGUGGAAAGCUCAUCAAGUGACGGUAACUACCCAGAAAGGGACGGCUAACUACGUG